This 431-nucleotide ribosomal RNA is filed under the name uncultured bacterium. RNAcentral's name for it is "partial 16S ribosomal RNA". It matches the Rfam family "Bacterial small subunit ribosomal RNA", at positions 338 to 795 of the family's 1533-position model. The record is from RNAcentral.
CCUACGGGUGGCAGCAGUGAGGAAUUUUGGUCAAUGGGCGAAAGCCUGAACCAGCAACGCCGCGUGAAGGAUGAAGGCCCUCGGGUCGUAAACUUCUUUUAGGGGAGAAACGGUAUCCCCUGAAUAAGCCACGGCAAACUACGUGCCAGCAGCCGCGGUAAAACGUAGGUGGCGAGCGUUAUCCGGAUUUACUGGGCGUAAAGCGCUUGUAGGUGGUUUUGUAAGUUGGGCGUGAAAUCUCCGGGCUUAACUUGGAGAGGCCGUCCAAUACUGCGAGGCUAGAGGUUAUUCGAGGAAAGUGGAAUUCCUGGUGUAGUAGUGAAAUGCGUAGAUAUCAGGAGGAACACCCGUGGCGAAGGCGGCUUUCUAGAUUACCUGACACUGAGAAGCGACAGCUAGGGGAGCAAACAGGAUUAGAUACCCUUGUAGUC